This 497-nucleotide ribosomal RNA is filed under the name uncultured bacterium. Its description in RNAcentral is "partial 16S ribosomal RNA". It matches the Rfam family "Bacterial small subunit ribosomal RNA", at positions 28 to 507 of the family's 1533-position model. The record is from RNAcentral.
GAUGAACGCUGGCGGCGUGCCUAAUACAUGCAAGUCGAGCGAACAGACGAGGAGCUUGCUCCUCUUACGUUAGCGGCGGACGGGUGAGUAACACGUGGAUAACCUACCUAUAAGACUGGGAUAACUUCGGGAAACCGGAGCCAAUACCGGAUAAUAUAUUGAACCGCAUGGUUCAAUAGUGAAAGACGGUUUUGCUGUCACUUAUAGAUGGAUCCGCGCCGCAUUAGCUAGUUGGUAAGGUAACGGCUUACCAAGGCAACGAUGCGUAGCCGACCUGAGAGGGUGAUCGGCCACACUGGAACUGAGACACGGUCCAGACUCCUACGGGAGGCAGCAGUAGGGAAUCUUCCGCAAUGGGCGAAAGCCUGACGGAGCAACGCCGCGUGAGUGAUGAAGGUCUUCGGAUCGUAAAACUCUGUUAUUAGGGAAGAACAAAUGUGUAAGUAACUAUGCACGUCUUGACGGUACCUAAUCAGAAAGCCACGGCUAACUACGUG